UACGGAAGGCGCGAGCGUUAAUCGGAAUUACUGGGCGUAAAGGGUGCGUAGGCUGAGAGAUAAGUCAGACGUGAAAUUCCGGAGCUCAACUCCGGAGCUGCAUCUGAAACUAUCUUUCUAGAGGAAGAGCGGAGAAAACGGAAUUCCAUGUGUAGCGGUGAAAUGCGUAGAUAUAUGGAAGAACACCUGUGGCGAAAGCGGUUUUCUAGCUUACUCCUGACGCUGAGGCACGAAAGCAAGGGGAUCAAACAGG
Molecule: ribosomal RNA, 253 nt
Filed under: uncultured bacterium
Lineage: Bacteria
Description: partial 16S ribosomal RNA
Rfam family: Bacterial small subunit ribosomal RNA
Source: RNAcentral